ACUUGUACUGCCAUGUAGCGAUUUCGAUAGACGACGCCUUCAAGGGGAGGAGGAGUCUACAACAUAUUGAAUUUAUCGAUCGAUUGUUAGGCCGAUUUCGAUCAGCAUUGUAUAGUUAAUGAAUGACAACUUGACGAGAUCUUUACACGCACGUUGGAAGUGUACGCGUGUUUGCACCUCGAUGAGCGUUGCACAAUAACAAAGCUCCGUUGGUGAGCGUAUUGAUUAAUAAAGCUAGCUGAAGUCCUUGAGUGCCUCAAGAAGGAAUCGCCGAGCAUCGUCAUACAGGAAGUUCCCGAUAGGGUACGGCAUGGUCGCCAAUUCGCCAUAAUAUCUCGG
Molecule: long non-coding RNA, 339 nt
Organism: Daphnia magna
Lineage: Eukaryota; Metazoa; Arthropoda; Branchiopoda; Diplostraca; Daphniidae
Exons: 3
Source: RefSeq, a predicted model, not a curated record